This 2784-nucleotide ribosomal RNA is filed under the name Escherichia coli. RNAcentral describes it as "bacterial LSU rRNA". It matches the Rfam family "Bacterial large subunit ribosomal RNA". The record is from RNAcentral. Lineage: Bacteria; Pseudomonadati; Pseudomonadota; Gammaproteobacteria; Enterobacterales; Enterobacteriaceae.
AGCGUACACGGUGGAUGCCCUGGCAGUCAGAGGCGAUGAAGGACGUGCUAAUCUGCGAUAAGCGUCGGUAAGGUGAUAUGAACCGUUAUAACCGGCGAUUUCCGAAUGGGGAAACCCAGUGUGAUUCGUCACACUAUCAUUAACUGAAUCCAUAGGUUAAUGAGGCGAACCGGGGGAACUGAAACAUCUAAGUACCCCGAGGAAAAGAAAUCAACCGAGAUUCCCCCAGUAGCGGCGAGCGAACGGGGAGCAGCCCAGAGCCUGAAUCAGUGUGUGUGUUAGUGGAAGCGUCUGGAAAGGCGCGCGAUACAGGGUGACAGCCCCGUACACAAAAAUGCACAUGCUGUGAGCUCGAUGAGUAGGGCGGGACACGUGGUAUCCUGUCUGAAUAUGGGGGGACCAUCCUCCAAGGCUAAAUACUCCUGACUGACCGAUAGUGAACCAGUACCGUGAGGGAAAGGCGAAAAGAACCCCGGCGAGGGAGUGAAAAAGAACCUGAAACCGUGUACGUACAAGCAGUGGGAGCACGCUUAGGCGUGUGACUGCGUACCUUUUGUAUAAUGGGUCAGCGACUUAUAUUCUGUAGCAAGGUUAACCGAAUAGGGGAGCCGAAGGGAAACCGAGUCUUAACUGGGCGUUAAGUUGCAGGGUAUAGACCCGAAACCCGGUGAUCUAGCCAUGGGCAGGUUGAAGGUUGGGUAACACUAACUGGAGGACCGAACCGACUAAUGUUGAAAAAUUAGCGGAUGACUUGUGGCUGGGGUGAAAGGCCAAUCAAACCGGGAGAUAGCUGGUUCUCCCCGAAAGCUAUUUAGGUAGCGCCUCGUGAAUUCAUCUCCGGGGGUAGAGCACUGUUUCGGCAAGGGGGUCAUCCCGACUUACCAACCCGAUGCAAACUGCGAAUACCGGAGAAUGUUAUCACGGGAGACACACGGCGGGUGCUAACGUCCGUCGUGAAGAGGGAAACAACCCAGACCGCCAGCUAAGGUCCCAAAGUCAUGGUUAAGUGGGAAACGAUGUGGGAAGGCCCAGACAGCCAGGAUGUUGGCUUAGAAGCAGCCAUCAUUUAAAGAAAGCGUAAUAGCUCACUGGUCGAGUCGGCCUGCGCGGAAGAUGUAACGGGGCUAAACCAUGCACCGAAGCUGCGGCAGCGACACUGUGUGUUGUUGGGUAGGGGAGCGUUCUGUAAGCCUGCGAAGGUGUGCUGUGAGGCAUGCUGGAGGUAUCAGAAGUGCGAAUGCUGACAUAAGUAACGAUAAAGCGGGUGAAAAGCCCGCUCGCCGGAAGACCAAGGGUUCCUGUCCAACGUUAAUCGGGGCAGGGUGAGUCGACCCCUAAGGCGAGGCCGAAAGGCGUAGUCGAUGGGAAACAGGUUAAUAUUCCUGUACUUGGUGUUACUGCGAAGGGGGGACGGAGAAGGCUAUGUUGGCCGGGCGACGGUUGUCCCGGUUUAAGCGUGUAGGCUGGUUUUCCAGGCAAAUCCGGAAAAUCAAGGCUGAGGCGUGAUGACGAGGCACUACGGUGCUGAAGCAACAAAUGCCCUGCUUCCAGGAAAAGCCUCUAAGCAUCAGGUAACAUCAAAUCGUACCCCAAACCGACACAGGUGGUCAGGUAGAGAAUACCAAGGCGCUUGAGAGAACUCGGGUGAAGGAACUAGGCAAAAUGGUGCCGUAACUUCGGGAGAAGGCACGCUGAUACGUAGGUGAAGUCCCUCGCGGAUGGAGCUGAAAUCAGUCGAAGAUACCAGCUGGCUGCAACUGUUUAUUAAAAACACAGCACUGUGCAAACACGAAAGUGGACGUAUACGGUGUGACGCCUGCCCGGUGCCGGAAGGUUAAUUGAUGGGGUCAGCGCAAGCGAAGCUCUUGAUCGAAGCCCCGGUAAACGGCGGCCGUAACUAUAACGGUCCUAAGGUAGCGAAAUUCCUUGUCGGGUAAGUUCCGACCUGCACGAAUGGCGUAAUGAUGGCCAGGCUGUCUCCACCCGAGACUCAGUGAAAUUGAACUCGCUGUGAAGAUGCAGUGUACCCGCGGCAAGACGGAAAGACCCCGUGAACCUUUACUAUAGCUUGACACUGAACAUUGAGCCUUGAUGUGUAGGAUAGGUGGGAGGCUUUGAAGUGUGGACGCCAGUCUGCAUGGAGCCGACCUUGAAAUACCACCCUUUAAUGUUUGAUGUUCUAACGUUGACCCGUAAUCCGGGUUGCGGACAGUGUCUGGUGGGUAGUUUGACUGGGGCGGUCUCCUCCUAAAGAGUAACGGAGGAGCACGAAGGUUGGCUAAUCCUGGUCGGACAUCAGGAGGUUAGUGCAAUGGCAUAAGCCAGCUUGACUGCGAGCGUGACGGCGCGAGCAGGUGCGAAAGCAGGUCAUAGUGAUCCGGUGGUUCUGAAUGGAAGGGCCAUCGCUCAACGGAUAAAAGGUACUCCGGGGAUAACAGGCUGAUACCGCCCAAGAGUUCAUAUCGACGGCGGUGUUUGGCACCUCGAUGUCGGCUCAUCACAUCCUGGGGCUGAAGUAGGUCCCAAGGGUAUGGCUGUUCGCCAUUUAAAGUGGUACGCGAGCUGGGUUUAGAACGUCGUGAGACAGUUCGGUCCCUAUCUGCCGUGGGCGCUGGAGAACUGAGGGGGGCUGCUCCUAGUACGAGAGGACCGGAGUGGACGCAUCACUGGUGUUCGGGUUGUCAUGCCAAUGGCACUGCCCGGUAGCUAAAUGCGGAAGAGAUAAGUGCUGAAAGCAUCUAAGCACGAAACUUGCCCCGAGAUGAGUUCUCCCUGACUCCUUGA